Molecule: ribosomal RNA, 301 nt
Filed under: uncultured bacterium
Lineage: Bacteria
Description: partial 16S ribosomal RNA
Rfam family: Bacterial small subunit ribosomal RNA
Source: RNAcentral
CAGUCGCCGCGGUAAUACAGAGGAUGCAAGCGUUACUCGGAAUCACUGGGCGUAAAGGACGCGUAGGCGGAUUAUCAAGUCUCUUGUGAAAUCUAACGGCUUAACCGUUAAACUGCUUGGGAAACUGAUAAUCUAGAGUAAGGGAGAGGCAGAUGGAAUUCUUGGUGUAGGGGUAAAAUCCGUAGAUAUCAAGAAGAAUACCUAUUGCGAAGGCGAUCUGCUGGAACUUAACUGACGCUAAUGCGUGAAAGCGUGGGGAGCAAACAGGAUUAGAUACCCCGGUAGUCCCUGUCUCUUAUAC